This is a long non-coding RNA of Lotus japonicus, 1533 nucleotides long. RefSeq lists it as uncharacterized. Lineage: Eukaryota; Viridiplantae; Streptophyta; Magnoliopsida; Fabales; Fabaceae. The record is from RefSeq and is a predicted model, not a curated record. The transcript is spliced from 6 exons.
AAAUUGAUAGGUACUAAAUGUGAUUUUUCCGUCAAGGAACUAAAAUCAAUCUCCCUCAUAAAAUCAUAGACUAAUGUGACCAUUAACAAAAAAAAAAAAUUAAUAAUUAAGUUUAAAAGCAAACCUCCUACAAGAUGAAGAUCUUAGUAGUAGUCCCAAAUCUCAUUUGGCGCCCUAACUUAAACCUCGCCGAAGCUUCUGCUUCACGUUUUCGGUCUCUCGUCAGAAGCUCUUCACCGUCCAGGUUCCAGUUCGGAGGCCAAUAAAGAGCUACAAAUUCCUUGAGCUUGGAGUCUUCUGUAGGCCUUCAAUGCCCUUCUUCACAUAGUUCAUUGUGGCGUAUAGCAAUAAUUUAUAUCUUGCAAAGAAAAAGUCUACAUCUAAAACUCCAUAAUCCAUAAUCCAUAGAUAUUGCUUUUGGAUAGUAGGGAAUGCAUCCACUUUAAUCGAUUCUUGAUGCUAAGAGAAGAGAUUGUUUCUAUAAUGUGGAUGUGGGCAAGAAAUUGGCUCAGGCUAUUGAGGAUGUCGUGUUUGGGAUUUGGUACCUGCAGCACGUGGCAAAGAAACAUACAUGUCAGCAUGUGAGGCUCCCUGGAAUGCCAACUCAGCUCUCCAUCCGGUAAAGGGGCGAAAACCAACAGGUUUUAUAAGUUAAAGGAUGAAAAGCCGCAAAAUUUUAGUUGAAAGACGAAAAUCAAAUUCUCGCUUUAGUUCAGGGGCGGAAAACAUAUUUAACCCAAGAUCUUAAUAAAGUCCCAAAUCCCAUUUCACGCCCUAACUUAAUUCCCUCGGAAACCCGAAACUGCAGGUUCUCUCUCAUGCUGUCACCUUCACAGUUUCCCUCAGAAGCUCUCAUUCGCUCGCCGAAGCUUCUGCUUCACGUUUUCGGUCUCUCGCCAGAAGCUCUUCACCGUCGCGAACCAGUAAUCAGGUUCCAGUUCUGAGGCUAAUAAAGAGCUACAAAUUCCUUGAGCUAGGAAUCUUCUGGAGGCCUCCAAUGCCCUUCUGCACAUAGUUCAUUGUGGCUUAUAGCAAUAAUUUAUAUCUUGCAGAGAAAAAGUCUACAUCUAAAACUCCGUAAUCUAUAAUCCAUAGAUAUUGCCUUUGGAUACUAGGGAUUGCAUCCACUUUAAUCGAUUCUUGAUGCUAAGAAAAGAGAUUGUGGGCAAGAAAUUGGCUCAGGCUAUUAAGGAUGUUGUCUGGGCUAUAACUUCUGAAUUCUCUAACUUUUGACAGCAUUCAAGUUGCAUGUUGACAUGUACAGUUGUACAUGAUUAAGGUAUGCAAGAUUGCUUAUUUAUUAUGACCUUGACAUCUUUAUGGAUAAAUUUUCAGCCUUUAUAUAGUGAACUGGAGUUAUUUUUGAACUUGAGCUACUAUUGGUUUUAUUUUCUUUCUUUGCAUUUGUUCUAGAGGAGAUUUCCAUGCAUGAGCUUUGGAUGUGAACCUUCUUUAAGUAUCUUGUUGCUAUAUUUAGAUUAACAUUUCAAGUUGCAAAUCAAUAGGAUUUUCAGUUAUGUCUAUUGCACCAAA